This is a non-coding RNA of Caenorhabditis elegans, 144 nucleotides long. NCBI's taxonomy places the organism in Eukaryota, Metazoa, Nematoda, Chromadorea, Rhabditida, Rhabditidae. The record is from Ensembl.
GGCGAUCCGCGGAUACGUCGCCCCGCCCAAUGCGGGGUUGUCCGUACGAAGAUAUCGACGAGUCGCUGCGCGGAAGACUUAUGAGAGAUGCGGAAAGGCGGAGACACAGAUGGUUUGGUAAAAGGAUAUGGGUCAAAAUGAAUG